GAUGAACGCUGGCGGCGUGCCUAAUACAUGCAAGUCGAGCGAACGGACGAGAAGCUUGCUUCUCUGAUGUUAGCGGCGGACGGGUGAGUAACACGUGGAUAACCUACCUAUAAGACUGGGAUAACUUCGGGAAACCGGAGCUAAUACCGGAUAAUAUUUUGAACCGCAUGGUUCAAAAGUGAAAGACGGUCUUGCUGUCACUUAUAGAUGGAUCCGCGCUGCAUUAGCUAGUUGGUAAGGUAACGGCUUACCAAGGCAACGAUGCAUAGCCGACCUGAGAGGGUGAUCGGCCACACCGGAACUGAGACACGGUCCCGACUCCUACGGGAGGCAACAGGAGGGAAUCUUCCGGAAAGGGCGAAAGCCUGACGGAGCAACGCCGCGUGAGUGAUGAAGGUUUUCGGAUCGGAAAACUCUGUUAUUAGGGAAGAACAUAUGUGUAAGUAACUGUGCACAUCUUGACGGUACCUAAUCAGAAAGCCACGGCUAACUACGUG
This 497-nucleotide ribosomal RNA is filed under the name uncultured bacterium. Its description in RNAcentral is "partial 16S ribosomal RNA". It matches the Rfam family "Bacterial small subunit ribosomal RNA", at positions 28 to 507 of the family's 1533-position model. The record is from RNAcentral.